RNA transcript from Phascolarctos cinereus (koala), 2031 nucleotides. It is a transcript of the gene named eukaryotic translation initiation factor 3 subunit L, with no coding region annotated. The record is from RefSeq and is a predicted model, not a curated record. Lineage: Eukaryota; Metazoa; Chordata; Mammalia; Diprotodontia; Phascolarctidae.
CGGGAAUACUGCGCAGGCUCGGGCGGCCGGCGCUCGUCGCACAAUUGCUCGCUCCUUCUCUGAGCCGAGAGGCUGAUCUGCCGCCAUGUCCUAUCCGAUUGAGGAUUAUGACAACGAGGUUGCAUAUGAUCCCUAUGCUUACCCAGGCGACUAUGACAUGCACACAGGAGACCCGAAGCAGGACCUGGCCUAUGAACGCCAGUAUGAGCAGCAGACCUAUCAAGUGAUUCCAGAAAUGAUCAAGAACUUUAUCCAGUAUUUCCAUAAAACCGUCUCCGACCUUAUUGACCAGAAAGUUUAUGAGCUUCAGGCAAGCCGGGUGCCCACUGAUGUCGUUGACCAGAAAGUCUAUGAGAUCCAGGAAAUUUAUGAGAACAGCUGGACCAAGCUAACUGAAAGGUUCUUCAAGAAUACCCCCUGGCCAGAAGCGGAGGCCAUUGCCCCACAAGUUGGCAACGAUGCCGUCUUCCUGAUCCUGUAUAAGGAGCUUUAUUACAGACACAUCUAUGCCAAAGUCAGUGGUGGGCCUUCCUUGGAACAGAGGUUUGAAUCCUACUACAAUUACUGCAACCUUUUCAACUACAUCCUCAAUGCCGAUGGCCCUGCCCCCCUCGAGCUGCCCAACCAGUGGCUGUGGGAUAUCAUCGAUGAAUUCAUCUACCAGUUUCAGUCAUUCAGCCAAUACCGAUGCAAGACGGCCAAGAAGUCAGAAGAAGAGAUCGACUUUCUGCGUUCCAACCCCAAGAUCUGGAACGUCCACAGCGUCCUGAACGUGCUACACUCUCUGGUAGACAAGUCCAAUAUCAACCGGCAGCUGGAGGUCUACACCAGCGGAGGUGACCCCGAGAGUGUGGCUGGCGAGUACGGUCGGCACUCCCUCUACAAGAUGCUCGGCUACUUCAGCCUGGUGGGGCUGCUCCGGCUGCACUCCCUCUUGGGGGAUUACUACCAGGCCAUCAAGGUGCUGGAGAACAUCGAGCUUAACAAAAAGAGCAUGUAUUCGCGGGUCCCCGAGUGCCAGGUCACCACCUAUUACUAUGUGGGCUUCGCCUAUCUGAUGAUGCGCCGGUACCAGGACGCCAUCCGCGUCUUUGCCAACAUCCUGCUCUACAUCCAGAGGACCAAGAGCAUGUUCCAGAGGACGACGUACAAAUACGAGAUGAUCAACAAGCAGAACGAGCAGAUGCACGCCCUGCUGGCCAUCGCCCUGACCAUGUACCCCAUGCGCAUCGACGAGAGCAUCCACCUGCAGCUGCGGGAGAAGUACGGGGACAAGAUGCUGCGCAUGCAGAAGGGCGACCCGCAGGUCUACGAGGAGCUCUUCAGCUACUCCUGCCCCAAGUUCCUGAGCCCCGUGGUGCCCAACUACGACAGCGUGCACCCCAACUACCACAAGGAGCCCUUCCUGCAGCAGCUGAAGGUGUUCGCGGACGAGGUGCAGCAGCAGGCCCAGCUCUCCACCAUCCGCAGCUUCCUCAAGCUCUACACCACCAUGCCCGUGGCCAAGCUGGCCGGCUUCCUGGACCUCACCGAGCAGGAGUUCCGCAUCCAGCUGUUGGUCUUCAAGCACAAGAUGAAGAACCUGGUGUGGACGAGCGGCAUCUCGGCCCUGGACGGCGAGUUCCAGUCGGCCUCCGAGGUGGACUUCUACAUCGACAAGGACAUGAUCCACAUUGCCGAUACCAAGGUGGCCCGCCGCUACGGAGACUUCUUCAUUCGGCAGAUCCAUAAAUUUGAGGAGAAGCCUUUCAGGAGGACUCGGGCAAUAGGCGGUGGCCUUCCAAAUCCAUGAGCCCUCCUCACACGGCUGCUCCGUGUCACAGUGGCCUCCUUAGACCAGACAGCUCAAUCGAACCCUAAAGAAGAUGGGCCAGAGACCCUGAGCGUGUACCGUCUCUCACCACAUUUAUCCAGAAUUCCUGCGGACAGAUGACCAGGCAGCAGAACACGUUUUCCGUCUUGUAGUGUCCAGACCAGCAGGCCUUCCUUGCUGGGGUCGAACAUUUCAAUAAAUCCCAGGAAGAGAUCUUC